Molecule: transfer RNA, 83 nt
Filed under: Candidatus Moranbacteria bacterium RIFOXYA1_FULL_44_7
Lineage: Bacteria; Candidatus Moraniibacteriota
Also listed under: 3 other names
Description: tRNA-Leu
Rfam family: tRNA
About the family: Transfer RNA (tRNA) molecules are approximately 80 nucleotides in length. Their secondary structure includes four short double-helical elements and three loops (D, anti-codon, and T loops).
Source: RNAcentral
GCCGAAGUGGCGGAAUGGUAUACGCGCGAGACUUAAAAUCUCGUGGAGCUUGCUCUAUGUGGGUUCGAGUCCCACCUUCGGCA